UCAGAAUUUUCAAGCAAUGAAAACAAUUGGUGAGAACAGUGGAACCCGAGAGUAUGUAGCAGAUAAAUUUUCUUUUUUUUACACUAAUUCUAUGAUAGUGACAACAAAGGGACUGGAUCAUGAACUUCCUAGAGUUUUGACUACACAAAUAAUUAUCGAUCUCUCAAGGAAUAGAUUUGAAGGUCAUAUUCCAAACAUUAUUGGAGAUCUCGUUGGACUUCGUACCUUGAACUUAUCCCAUAAUGUCUUGGAAGGUCAUAUACCAGCAUCAUUGCAAAAUUUAUCAGUACUCAAAUCAUUGGAUCUCUCAUCUAACAAAAUCAGCGGAGAAAUUCCGCAGCAGCUUGCAUCCCUCACAUUUCUUGCAGUCUUGAAUCUCUCUCACAAUCAUCUUGUUGGAUGCAUCCCUAAAGGAAAACAAUUUGAUACGUUUGAGAACAGUUCAUACCAAGGAAAUGUUGGAUUAUGAGGAUUGCCACCCUCAAGAGAUUGUGGCCGUGAUGAUAGGGUACCACAAGCGACAAUUCCAGUUGAGCUAGAUCAAGAAGAAGAAGAAGAUUCACCAAUGAUCAAUUGGCAGGCGGUUCUCAUGGGUUACGGUUGUGGACUUAUUAUUGGAUUGUCCGUAUAAUAUGUAAUGUCUUCAACUCAAUAUCCAAAAUGGUUUUCGAGGAUGGUUGUAAAAUUGGAAGACAAACUUAUUACAAGAAUGAAAAAGUAGAGGAAAAGAUAUUAGUGUAUAGUUACCUCCAGGUAUUCAACUUGAUCAUUGUCCUUCAGAAGAUUAUUUUUUAUAUAUCGAUGAAAUUAUCGACCUCCUUCAUCCUCAAAGCUCUUAACUUUAACUCUUCAUUUUUGUAAAUUUCAGGAUUCAAGAGUUCCGAGUUCCGAGUUGCUGGGGAUGCAGAUAAAGCCUUUUUAUCGUUCAUAGUUUGUAAUGUUUCCAUGAAGUGUUUCUUAUCCUAUGAAUAAAUAUUUUGUUUUCAUUUGUCUAUGGCAUGCAGCUAUGUUCCAUCACUAAAAACAUUGUAUUUCUCUCAACUCUUUUGUCACAUGAUAUCAUAACACAAACAAAGAACACUUGAAUCAAAACCUGGAAGAAACAUCAGGAAACCAUGAAUCAAAGUUGCAGUAGUCUACUAUAUUAACUUUUUUCGUUGAAGCACAACCGACAUAUCAUGAGAAAGAGACUGUGAUCUCAGAAAUGAGAAUUUACCAAUCCACAACCCUGCAGUAUCUACUGGAACUUUUUUCUGUCGCUUCUUCUUGCCCCAAUCUCAGGAACAUUUCAUUCUUGACUGGUCCUUGAUGCAAUAAAUUAAAUCGUGAGUGGAAUUUGUUAAUCUAGUAGCUAAUUAAUGCUCGAAGAAGAUGAAUGCUAAUUCAGGGACUUAGCCGAGAAUUAUAGCUGAAAGAGAAAUGUAGAAGAAGAAGAGAUUGAUCUUAUUUCAUGAAUGAAUAACAUUUUGCAAUCAUAGACAGAGGAAUGAAACUAAUGGCCUAACGAACACUCUGUGAAUAGUGAACAGUACUAACCCAUACCGUGAAGUCUCCAGGAUACAAAUAUUUGGCCUUCGAAAGCAAACUUUUUCUCUCUAAAUACAAGCUUUAUUUUCAUAGUUUCUGAUGUUUCAUCUUACAUUUUUUUAUUACUACCUGUUGUUUCUUUAGCCUCGAUUACUGUAUUAUCUUGUUGUUUUUUCUGCUUGUUGCUACUAUGCCUUCUUUUACAUCGAAAAUAACCUCUCUAACUUCAAGGUAGUGGUAAGGUCUGCGUACACAGUAUACUCCCAAGACAGCCAGGCCCCACUGUCUUCCAUCAGCAGCUCAAUUCUUGUUUCUGUCAAGUUGUAUGGUGUGUGUUAAGAGAGCAAAGCAAAGAUACUUUUUGUGACAUUCAAACAAAAUGCAUGUGUUAUUACAAGUGGUGGGACUUUGUGUUUGAAUCUUUCUAUGCUAUCUUAUUUAUCUUCCCUUCCAUCACUCGUAAACAUACAUUUCAAAGGGAUCAAAAUUGAAUCAAAUUAUUCUACAUGCCUAAAUUCCUUUAUUAUUGUGUUAUCAAAUAACUACAUCAACUCUAAAAUACUCAUAUAUAUGAGUAGUAAUUUUCAUUUGAAGAGUACUUUUAUGGAACUAUUUAGUUGUGUAAAUUUUAUUUCAAGAUAAGCAAAAGAAGUCGAUAUGUGAAUUUACUCCGAAAAUUUUAAGAAGUGACCUUCAUUUUAAAUUUUCUUUGGAACGAAAAAAUGGAUGGAUGGACCUAAGAUCGUGCUGAAAGACGGAGUCGAUGGACAACAUGUAAAUAUCAUAACUUUUACUAUUUUAAUUAACAUUUGAAUUGAGCUUGAUUUUCAUUGGAACAAACUCUAAUUCUUUUGAUAAAAAUUAAAUUUGCUAACAAAUACAAUGACGAAUGCUUUAACAUGUGUAUCCUAAGGAGGAGAGAAAGCAAAGUAAAAAAAUUAUUCUUGUUUUUUUGUUUUGUAAUAGAAAGUGAACCAAAACAAAGACCUUUUAUGUGACCUCUUCGUCUAUAAUAAGCACAUGUGAUUGUCAACUUCAAAUUGACAGAAAAUGACUACUUAACCAAUAGAGAUUUUUUUUUGCUUAAUUUGUGCUAUAUAUACGUCAUCAAAAUUGUUGAAUAGACACAAAAGCAAACAUUUCCUGAUUUCUUCACUGCCAACUUAAUUAGUUUUUGACCAUUUUAGUGAAGAAAUGGGUUGUGUAAAAGUUGUGUUUUUUAUGCUAUAUCCCUUUCUCUGUCAACUUGCUUUCUCCUCAUCCUCACCUCAUUUGUGCCCCCGAAGAUCAAGCUCUUGCUCUUCUACAAUUCAAGAACAUGUUUACCGUGAGACCUACUUCUUAUGGUUGUUACGACUAUACAGACCAAAGGAUGAAGUCAUAUCCAAGAACUCUUUUCUGGAACAAGAGCACCGAUUGCUGCUCAUGGGAUGGAGUUCAUUGUGACGAGACAACAUGACAAGUGAUUGAGCUUGAUCUCCGUUGCAGCCAACUUCAAGGCAAGUUUCGUUCCAAUAGUAGCCUCUUUCAACUCUUCAAUCACAAAAGGCUUGAUUUGUCUUAUAACGAUUUCUUUGAAUCGCUCAUUUCACCUAAAUUUGGUGAGUUCUCUAGAUUGACGCAUCUUGAUUUGUCGAGUUCACGUUUUACAGGUCUAAUCCCUUGUGAAAUCUCUCAUCUUUCUAAAUUAUACGUUCUUCGUAUAUGGACUGUAUUUCCAUAUGGCCUUAGACUUGGGCCUCACAAUUUUGAACUACUCCUUAAGAACUUGACUCAAUUAAGAGAUCUCGACCUUUACUCUGUGAACAUCUCUUCCACUAUUCCUCUGAAUUUCUCUUCUUAUUUAACAAAUUUACAGCUUCAACACACACAAUUUCGUGGGGUAUUUCCCGAAAGAGUUUUCCACCUUUCCGAUUUAGAAUUCCUUGAUUUAUCUCACAAUCCCCAGCUCACAGUUAGGUUUCCCACAACCAAAUGGAAUAGCAGUGCAUCACUCAUGUACUUAAAUCUCUAUGAUGUGAAUAUUAAUGGUAGGAUACCUGAAUCAUUUAGCCAUCUAACUUCACUUCAUAUGUUGAACAUGGGUAAUACUAAUCUGUCAGGGCCCCUUCCUAAACCUCUAUGGAAUCUCACCAACAUAGAGAGUUUGUUCCUUGGUAGUAACCAUCUUGAAGGACUAAUUUCCCUGUUAUCGAGAUUUGAAAAGCUCAAGGAAUUAUUACUUGGAAAUAACAAUUUUGAUGGCCGACUUGAGUUCUUAUCCUUUAACAGAAGCUGGAUGCAACUCGAUACCUUAGAUUUUUCGUCCAAUUACCUAACUGGUCCAAUUCCAUCCAACGUAAGUGGACUGCGAAACCUAAAACAGCUCUUCUUGUCAUCAAGCUACUUGAAUGGGACUAUACCUUCCUGGAUAUUCUCCCUUCCUUCACUGAUAGCGUUAGACUUAAGCAAUAACACUUUCAGUGGAACAGUUCAAGUCCAAAACAUUAAAUGUCGUUACUCUAAAUCAAAAUAAGCUGGAAGGUCCUAUUCCAAAGUCACUCCUAAACCAGCAGUUCCUACUAGGUCUUCUCUUUUCACACAAUAACAUCAGUGGACGUAUUGCUUCAGCUAUCUGCAAUCUGAAAACAUUGCAAGUAUUAGAUUUGAGAAGUAAAAUUUUGGAGGGAACAAUCCCACAAUGUUUGGGUGAGAUGAGUGCAGUUGAGAUUUUGGAUUUGAGCAACAAUAGUCUUAGUGGGACAAUUAAUACAACUUUUAGUAUUCGAAACCGACUCAACAUCAUUAAAUUGCAUAGUAAUAAGCUAGAGGGGAAAGUUUCACAAUCUUUGAUCAAUUGUAAAUAUUUAGAACUUCUUGAUUUAGGUAACAAUGAGUUGAAUGACACGUUUCCAAAAUGGUUGGGAGAGCUACCUCAUUUGCAGAUCUUAAAGUUGAGAUCAAAUAAGUUCUAUGGCCCUAUAAGGAUUGACAACUUGUUUGCUCAAAUUCGAGUCAUAGAUCUCUCAUCCAAUGGAUUUAGUGGAGAUUUACCAUUGAGUCUUUUUCAGAAUUUUCAAGCCAUGAAAACAAAUGGUGAGAACAAUGGAACCCGAGAGUAUGUAGCAGAUACAUUUUUUUUUUACUUACACUAAUUCUAUGAUAGUGACAACAAAGGGACUGGAUCAUGAACUUCCUGGAGUUUUGACUACACAAAUAAUUAUCAAUUUCUCAAUGAAUAGAUUUGAAGGUCAUAUUCCAAGCAUUAUUGGAGAUCUCGUUGGACUUCGUACCUUGAACUUAUCUCAUAAUGUCUUGGAAGGUCAUAUACCAGCAUCAUUGCAAAAUUUAACUGUACUCGAAUCGUUGGAUCUCUCAUCUAACAAUAUCAGUGGAGAAAUUCUGCUGCAGCUUGCAUCCCUCACAUUUCUUGCAGUCUUAAAUCUCUCUCACAAUUAUCUUGUUGGAUGCAUCCCCAAAGGAAAACAAUUUGAUACGUUUGAGAACAGUUCAUACCAAGGAAAUGAUGGAUUACGAGGAUUGCCACCCUCAAGAGAUUGUGGUCGUGAUGAUAGGGUACCACAAGAGACAAUUCCAGUUGAGCUAGAUCAAGAAGAAGAAGAAGAAGAUUCACCAAUGAUCAAUUGGCAGGCGGUUCUUAUGGGUUAUGGUUGUGGACUUGUUAUUGGACUGUCUGUAAUAUACGUAAUGUGGUCAACUCAAUAUCCAGCAUGGUUUUCGAGGAUGGAUUUAAAAUUGGAACACAGAAUUACUACGAGAAUGAAAAAGUACAAGAAAAGAUAUUAGUGAGUAGCGACCCCCAGGUAUUCAACUUGAUCUUUAUCUUUCUUAAGAUCAUUUUAUAUGUCAAUGUGUUUUCAACCUCCUUCAUCGUCAGAGCUCUUACCUUAAUUCUUUAUUUUUGAAAAUUGCAGGAUUCAAGUCUACUGAGUUGUGGGGGAUGCAGAUAAAAGUCUUUAUUUUUCAUAGUUUGUGGUGUCUCCAUAAAGUAUUUGUUAUACUAUGAAUAAAGACAUGACUUUUCUUCCUUUGAGACUCAACCAGAUUUUGUUUUCAAAUGUCUAUGGCAUAUAGAAAUAAACGGAAAUCGGACACAAACUUGAAUCUUUAAAUCAUUCAAUCAGAGUAUUUCACUCAACUCUUUCACAUAACACAAAUAUAGAACACUCGAAUUUAAGUUCAGAAACAUAAAAAUCUGUAGUUACAGAUUUCAGAAAUAUUCUUUUACAGACACAUGAUGGUCCUUUAUCAAAAGAUCGAAGGAACAUCAGGAAACCAUGGACCAAAGUUGCAGUCUGCUAUCUUUAACUUUUUUCAUUGAAGCAGUAGCAAUUAACAUAUAAUCUAGAUUCUAUUCAACCUCCUUUAUGAUAUUAGUAAGAUAAAUGAAACAGUGCUAAAUCAAGAAAUGAAGAAAGCUGUAAAGUAUUCCGCUGCUGCUUAUUAGAAUAGGCUCAGACUCUUUUGAGACAUUAGAUGGUGAACUGAUCAAAUGGACGAAAAAGGCCUAUUAUUGUGUUAAAAGGUGUAUUAGAAUAAUCUCAUAUCCAUUGGGAGGACUGUUUUGAGCCAUUAGAACCAGGUAAAAGAAUAAGUUCUGUCACAACAAAUUCUAGGAAAUAGACGCAUUAUUGAGCUUAUGCUCGAAAUCAAUUAAGGGUACGAAAAGUUCUGUCACAACAAAUUCUUAAAAGGGUAUAAUAUGCAUACACUUAUCCUAUCAAAACCUUCUUGCUUUUUUUUUUUUUUUACCUUUAAAGUUAAAGUCUAUACACAAAGUAACACUCUUAUCUUCUUUUUUUCUUAAUGCAAGACUUUGUUCAUACACCCAACCAAUUAUCAAACUACUUGAUUCAGAACAAUACAUGCCAUCCUGGAUAUCCUCCGUUCCAUCACUAAACUUUGAGGACUAUAACAAUGUGUUUCUUCCGUUCUACUCUCCGAGAAGACAAGAACAGCAGUCUCACUCUCACACUCACCUAUAAGUUCCAGGAAGAUACAAAAAAAUGUUUAAUCAGUGGUAUUGAAACUAUGAAGAACAUGCCAUGUAUGGACUUCUGCACUGUCUUCCAUCAGCAGGUCAAUUCUUGUGGAAAAUUGGCUCGAGCUGGUGCACUAUGUAGGCGCUGUAUUCAGAGUAGAUUUCCAGUCUAACCUUAAUGCAUUAGCAAAGUGACACUCCUAUUCUUAAGGUAUAAAGUUGUUAUGUUUCUUUCAAAGUUUACACACUCCUAUCCUAAACAAUUUUGUUGUGUGGUGGUCCUAUUCCUGGAAUCCAAUUAAGUUGGCAAAACAAAGAUAUUUUUUUGUCGAUAAUAACGUUGCACACAAAAUGCAUGUGUAAUGUGUUAUAUACAAGUGGUGGGACUUUGUGAUUUGACUUAAGAAUGUGAACUAUUGAUAGUUUCCGGCAUUCACUUGUGUGACACAUUGAAUGGGCAUAUGUGAUUCACAACUUCAAAUUGACUGAAAAUGACUACGUAACCAAUAGUAAAAUUCUCUUUGCUUAAUUUGUGUUAUAUAUACCUCAUCAAAAUUGUUGAAUAAACACACAAAGCAAAAUAUUUCUUGAUUUCUUCUCUACCAACUUAAUUUAGUUUUGAUCAUUUUUUAGUGCAGAAAUGGAUUGUGUAAAACUUGUAUUGUUUAUGCUAUAUACCUUUCUCGGUCAACUUAUUUUCUCCUUAUCCUUACCUCAUUUGUGCCCCGAAGAUCAAGCUCUUGCUCUUCUACAAUUCAAGAACAUGUUUCCCAUUAAUCCUAAUGCUUCUGAUUAUUGUUUUAAAUUUAAAGAGUUUCAUUCAUAUCCGAAAACUCUUACAUGGAAUAGUAGCACAGAUUGUUGCUCAUGGGAUGGAGUACAUUGUGACAAGAUGACGGGACAGGUGAUUGAGCUCAACCUCACUUGCAGCGGACUUCAAGGCAAGUUUCAUUCCAAAUUGUAGCCUCUUUCAACUUUCCAAUCUCAAAAGGAUUGAUUUGUCUUUUAAUAAUUUCACUGGAUCGCUCAUUUCACCUAAAUUUGGUGACUUCUCCAGUUUAACACAUCUUGAUCUAACAGUUACAAGUUUUUCGGGUCAAAUCCCUUCUGAAAUAUCUCAUCUUUCAAAAUUACACGAUCUUCGUAUCUCUAAUGUUUAUCCAUAUGAGCUUAGAUUCGGACCUCACAAUUUUGAAUUGCUCCUUAAGAACUUGACCCAAUUAAGAGAGCUCCACCUUCACGAUGUGAACAUCUCUUCCACCAUUCCUCUGAAUAUCUCUUCUUAUUUAACAAAUCUACGGCUUCCAUUAACAGAGUUACGUGGGGUAUUUCCCGAAAGAGUUCUCCACCUUUCCGAUUUAGAAUUCCUUGAUUUAUCAGAAAAUCCCCAGCUCACUGUUAGGUUUCCCACAACCAAAUGGAAUAGCAGUGCAUCACUCAUGUACUUAAAUCUCUAUGAUGUGAAUAUUAAUGGUAGGAUACCUGAAUCAUUUAGCCAUCUAACUGCACUUCAUGACUUGAACAUGGGUUAUUCUACUCUGUCAGGGCCUAUUCCUAAACCUCUAUGGAAUCUCACCAACAUAGAGAGUUUGUUCCUUAGUGAUAACUAUCUUGAAGGACCGAUUUCCCAGUUCUCGAGAUUUGGAAAGCUUAGGGUGUUAUACCUUGGAUAUAACAACUUCGAUGGCUGACUUGAGUUCUUAUCCUUUAACAGAAACUGGACGCAACUUGAAGUAUUAGAGUUUUCAUUCAAUAACCUAACUGGUCCAAUUCCAACUAAUGUAAGAGGACUACAAAACCUACAAUGGCUCAAAUUGUCAUCAAACCACUUGAAUGGGACUAUACCUUCCUGGAUAUUCUCCCUUCCUUCACAGACAGUGUUAAACUUGAGAAAUAACCCUUUCAGUGGAAAAAUUCAGGAGUUCAAGUCCAACACAUUGUUGGAAGUUGAUCUAAGACAAAAUCAACUAGAAGGUCCUUUACCAAAUUCACUCCUAAAACAGCCAAACCUAAAAUUUCUUCUCCUUUCACACAAUAAUAUUAGUGGACAGAUUGCUUCAACUAUCUGCAAUCUGAAAACACUAACAGCUUUGGACUUAGGAAGUAACAAUUUGGAGGGAACAAUCCCACAAUGUUUGGUUGAGAUGAAUGAAUACCUUUGGAAUUUGGAUUUGAGCAACAACAGUCUUAGUGGGACUAUCAAUACAAAUUUUAGUGUUGGAAACGAUCUCACGAUCAUUAGCUUGCAUGGGAAUAAGCUAACGGGGAAAGUCCCACGAUCUUUGAUCAAUUGCAAGUACUUGACACUUCUUGAUCUAGGUAACAAUCAGUUGAAUGACACAUUUCCAAACUGGUUGGGACACCUACCUGAUUUGAAGAUUUUAAGCUUGAGAUCAAAUAAGUUUCAUGGUCCCAUUAAAUCUUCAGGGAAUACAAACUUGUUUGCGCGGCUUCAAAUUCUGGAUCUAUCAUCCAAUGGAUUUAGUGGUAAUUUACCAAUAAGUCUUUUUGGGAAUUUGCAAGCCAUGAAGAAAUUGAUGAGCGUACAAGAACCCCAGAGUAUGUUUCUGAUCAAUAUGCUGGUUAUUAUGAUUAUUUGAUGACAAUUACAACAAAGGGGCAAGAGUAUGAUUGUGUUCAAAUUUUGGAUUCUAACAUGAUUAUCGAUCUCUCAAAGAACCGAUUUGAAGGUCAUAUUCCAAGCAUUAUUGGAGAUCUCGUUGAACUUCGUACCUUGAACUUAUCUCAUAAUGUCUUGGAAGGUCAUAUACCAGCAUCAUUGCAAAAUUUAUCUGUACUCGAAUCAUUGGAUCUCUCAUCUAACAAAAUCAGCGGAGGAAUUCCACCACAACUUGCAUCCCUCACGUUUCUUGCAGUCUUAAAUCUCUCUCACAAUCAUCUUGUUGGAUGCAUCCCCAAAGGAAAACAAUUUGAUACGUUUGAGAAUAGCUCAUACCAAGGGAAUGAUGGGUUAUGUGGACUGCCAUUCUCAAAACAUUGUGGUGGUGAUGGUAGGGUACCACAAGCGACAAUUCCAGCUGAGCAAGAUCAAGAAGAAGAAGAAGAUUCACCAAUGAUCAGUUGGCAGGCGGUUCUCAUGGGUUACGGUUGUGGUCUAGUUAUUGGACUGUCUAUAAUAUACAUAAUGUUGUCAACUCAAUAUCCAACAUGGUUUUCGAGGAUGGUAUUGAAAUUGGAACACAGAAUGAUUACGAGAAUGAAAAGGCACAAGAAAAGAUAUUAGUGAGUAGCGACCUCCAGGUAUAUAACUUGAUCUAUUUUAUUUUAUUUCUAUUUUUUUUUACCCUCCGUAGGAGCUCCCACCCCUUUUGCUCCCUUGGUGACUCGAACUCGCAACCUUCGGGUUGGAAGUGAGAGGUGCUUACCAUCCGAGCAACUCCCUCUCGUCAUUCAACUUGAUCAUUAUCCUUCAGAAGAUUAUUUUUUAUAUAUCGAUGUAAUUUCUACCUACUUCAUCCUUUAAGCUCUUAACUUUAAUUCUUCAUUUUUGAAAAUUGCAGGAUUCAAGUCUACUGAAUUGCUGGGAUGCAAUAAGACGAGUUUUUGUUUACCAAUAGUCUGUUAUAUAGUAUGUAGUAAUUUAUUCAGCCUGAUUAUUAGUUAGCUACUUCAUUUCGACUGCAAUGUUCAGUUCAUAAAUUUAUGAAGUUAUCUUAUCUUUUUGUUUUAAUUACAUCAAUAAUUUCAAUAGCAAGCUAAACGUGUACACCUUUUAAGACUCUCCUAAAAAUUGGCUUAAAUAUCCUUAUGGUGUUAAAGAUUGCUCUAAAGUCACCACUCCUUGUUAGUCGAAAAUCACACUUGUCUAAUUUCAAAUGUUUAUAUGUAAAAAGAAUCGAAGAUAUGCCUUUUUUUCUCAACUUUGAUCUGUAGAGGUAUUGAUCUUGUCGCCUCUGCUCUCUGUGCGUUCCUAUUUCUUAAUAAAUCUCUGUGACAUUAGAUACAGGCCUUGUACACCAUACCUUGUAGGAAGACAAUAACGGAUUAGUUCAAGGAGUACUAAAAGUUCUGUUAAAGAAAAUGCUUAAAAACUACAUAUGACAUCUUGUAUUAUAAAGAGAAUGCAAGCUUGAGUCUACUUCAAAUGAUCAUAAUAUAUCGGAUACUCAUUAAAUGAGCAUUCUCAAUAACAGAGCUUGGAUCAAAUCUAUAUUAUGUGCACAGAAUUAUGAAGCAUGAAUACUAGUUCACCUCAACUUUUUCCUUUUCUUUUUGCUAAGAAAAGGCAUUUUGUUGGGUUAUACACAUUUACAAGGGUGAAAAAGAUGCCACAAUUUACACCAUCCUGUAUCAAACAGUCCAGAAUCGAGACGAAGAUAACUAGCUUUAUAAAAAAUUAUUGAUAAAAAUUAUUGAUCUAGGAAAAAGAUGCAUUCUUGAGCUUAUGCUCGAAACUAAUUAAGGGAUAAUUCUCAAAGGAGUACGAAAAGUUCUGUUAUAGGAAGUUUCGUUCAUAACGUUCAAGAAUUUGAAUUACUCUGUGGGAGUAUCAAUUUGGAGGGAACAAUCCCACAAUGCCUGGGUGAGAUGAAUGAAUACCUUUGGAAUUUGGAUUUGAGCAACAACAGUCUUAGUGGGACAAUCAAUAUAAAUUUUAGUAUUGGAAACUCUUUCAGGGUCAUUAGCUUGCACGGGAAUAAGCUAACAGGGAAAGUCCCACCAUCUUUGAUCAAUUGCAAGUAUUUGACACUUCUUGAUCUAGGUAACAAUAAGUUGAAUGACACAUUUCCAAACUGGUUGGGAAACCUACCUGAUUUGCAGAUUUUAAGCUUGAGAUCAAAUAAGUUUCACGGUCCCAUUAAAUCUUCAGGGAAUACAAACUUGUUUGCGCAGCUUCAAAUUCUGGAUCUAUCAUCCAAUGGAUUUAGUGGUAAUUUACCAAUAAGUCUUUCUGGGAAUUUGCAAGCCAUGAAGAAAAUUGACGAGAGUACAAGAACCCCAGAGUAUGUUUCUGAUCAAUUUGCUGGUUAUUAUGAUUAUUUGAUGACAAUUACAACAAAGGGACAAGAUUAUGAUUGUGUUCAAAUUUUGGAUCCUAACAUGAUUAUCGAUCUCUCAAAGAACAGAUUUGAAGGUCUUAUUCCAAGCAUUAUUGGAGAUCUUGUUGGACUUUGUACCUUGAACUUAUCUCAUAAUGUCUUGGAAGGUCAUAUACCAGCUUCAUUGCAAAAUUUAUCAGUACUCGAAUCAUUGGAUCUCUCAUCUAACAAAAUCAGCGGAGAAAUUCCACAACAGCUUGCAUCCCUCACAUUCCUUGCAGUUUUAAAUCUCUCUCACAAUCAUCUUGUUGGAUGCAUCCCCAAAGGAAACCAAUUUGAUACGUUUGAGAACAGUUCGUACCAAGGGAAUGAUGGAUUAU
This 11888-nucleotide long non-coding RNA is filed under the name Solanum tuberosum (potato). RNAcentral describes it as "long non-coding RNA (STUB_LNC001200)". The record is from RNAcentral. Lineage: Eukaryota; Viridiplantae; Streptophyta; Magnoliopsida; Solanales; Solanaceae.